This 446-nucleotide ribosomal RNA is filed under the name uncultured bacterium. RNAcentral's name for it is "partial 16S ribosomal RNA". It matches the Rfam family "Bacterial small subunit ribosomal RNA", at positions 328 to 792 of the family's 1533-position model. The record is from RNAcentral.
GGCCCAGACUCCUACGGGAGGCAGCAGUAGGGAAUAUUGCUCAAUGGGGGAAACCCUGAAGCAGCAACGCCGCGUGGAGGAUGAAGGUUUUCGGAUUGUAAACUCCUUUUGUUAGAGAAGAUAAUGACAGUAUCUAACGAAUAAGCACCGGCUAACUCCGUGCCAGCAGCCGCGGUAAUACGGAGGAUGCGAGCGUUAUCCGGAUUUAUUGGGUUUAAAGGGUGCGCAGGUGGCACGGCAAGCCGGCGGUCAAAUCGCGGGGCUCAACCCCGCCCAGCCGUCGGAACUGCCGGGCUAGAGUGGGCGAGAAGUGCGCGGAAUGCGUGGUGUAGCGGUGAAAUGCAUAGAUAUAAGGAAGAACACCAGUGGCGAAGGCGGAUGACUGGACGGCAACUGACGGUGAGGCGCGAAAGCGUGGGGAGCAAACAGGAUUAGAUACCCUCGUA